GGGGCCAUAGCUCAGUUGGGAGAGCAUCUGCUUUGCAAGCAGGAGGUCGGCGGUUCGAAACCGCCUGGCUCCA
RNAcentral lists this transfer RNA (73 nucleotides) under Candidatus Kentrum sp. FW. RNAcentral describes it as "Candidatus Kentron sp. FW tRNA_Ala_TGC". It matches the Rfam family "tRNA". From Rfam's summary of the family: Transfer RNA (tRNA) molecules are approximately 80 nucleotides in length. The record is from RNAcentral. Lineage: Bacteria; Pseudomonadati; Pseudomonadota; Gammaproteobacteria.